Non-coding RNA from Populus trichocarpa (black cottonwood), 138 nucleotides. NCBI's taxonomy places the organism in Eukaryota, Viridiplantae, Streptophyta, Magnoliopsida, Malpighiales, Salicaceae. The record is from Rfam.
UAAUCUGUUUAGGGAAGAUCAUUAUCUGGUUGUGGUAGACCCACACCUAGCUACUCAGAAUCACUUGUUAUCGCAAGCCUAACUAUAUAAAUUUCUCUCUUGAUGGGAACCUCCUCAUCCUAUUUGCCUAAACACAUU